GACGAACGCUGGCGGCGUGCUUAACACAUGCAAGUCGAACGGAAAGGCCCUGCUUUUGUGGGGUGCUCGAGUGGCGAACGGGUGAGUAACACGUGAGUAACCUGCCCUUGACUUUGGGAUAACUUCAGGAAACUGGGGCUAAUACCGGAUAGGAGCUCCUGCUGCAUGGUGGGGGUUGGAAAGUUUCGGCGGUUGGGGAUGGACUCGCGGCUUAUCCGCUUGUUUGUGGGGUAGUGGCUUACCAAGGCUUUGACGGGUAGCCGGCCUGAGAGGGUGACCGGCCACAAUGGGACUGAGAUACGGCCCAGAAGGCUACGGGAGGCAGCAGGGGGGAAUAUGGCAGAAUGGGCGGAAGCCUGAUGCAGCAACGCCGCGUGCGGGAUGACGGCCUUCGGGUUGUAAACCGCUUUCGCCUGUGACGAAGCGUGAGUGACGGUAAUGGGUAAAGAAGCACCGGCUAACUACGUG
Molecule: ribosomal RNA, 468 nt
Filed under: uncultured bacterium
Lineage: Bacteria
Description: partial 16S ribosomal RNA
Rfam family: Bacterial small subunit ribosomal RNA
Source: RNAcentral